This 428-nucleotide ribosomal RNA is filed under the name uncultured bacterium. RNAcentral describes it as "bacterial SSU rRNA". It matches the Rfam family "Bacterial small subunit ribosomal RNA", at positions 355 to 775 of the family's 1533-position model. The record is from RNAcentral.
UCGAGAAUUUCUCGCAAUGGGGGAAACCCUGACGGAGCGACGCCGCGUGGAGGAUGAAGGUCUUCGGAUUGUAAACUCCUGUCAUUGGUGAACAAGGUGCUUCGAGUAACUAUCGAGGUAAUUGCUAGUAGCCGAAGAGGAAGGGACGGCUAACUCUGUGCCAGCAGCCGCGAUAAUACAGAGGUCCCGAGCGUUGUUCGGAUUCAUUGGGCGUAAAGGGUGCGUAGGCGGCUUGCUAAGUCUGAUGUGAAAUCCUGGGGCUCAACCCCGGAACUGCAUUGGAUACUGGCGGGCUAGAGAUCUGGAGAGGAAACUGGAAUUUACGGUGUAGCAGUGAAAUGCGUAGAGAUCGUAAGGAAGACCAGUGGUGAAGGCGAGUUUCUGGACAGAUUCUGACGCUGAGGCACGAAGGCCAGGGGAGCAAACGG